UACAGAGGUCCCAAGCGUUGUUCGGAUUCACUGGGCGUAAAGGGCGCGCAGGCGGCUACGCACGUCCGUUGUGAAAUCGCCCGGCUCAACUGGGCGGGGUCAGCGGAUACGGCGUAGCUGGAGCAAGCUAGGGGGCAAUGGAAUUCCCGGUGUAGUGGUGGAAUGCGUAGAUAUCGGGAGGAACACCAGUGGCGAAGGCGGUUGCCUGGAGCUUUGCUGACGCUGAGGCGCGAAAGCGUGGGGAGCGAACAGG
RNAcentral lists this ribosomal RNA (253 nucleotides) under uncultured bacterium. Its description in RNAcentral is "partial 16S ribosomal RNA". It matches the Rfam family "Bacterial small subunit ribosomal RNA", at positions 524 to 776 of the family's 1533-position model. The record is from RNAcentral.